RNAcentral lists this ribosomal RNA (253 nucleotides) under uncultured bacterium. RNAcentral's name for it is "partial 16S ribosomal RNA". It matches the Rfam family "Bacterial small subunit ribosomal RNA", at positions 524 to 776 of the family's 1533-position model. The record is from RNAcentral.
UACGAAGGGGGCUAGCGUUGCUCGGAAUCACUGGGCGUAAAGCGCACGUAGGCGGAUUGCUAAGUCAGGGGUGAAAUCCUGGAGCUCAACUCCAGAUCUGCCUUUGAUACUGGCGAUCUCGAGUCCGGGAGAGGUGAGUGGAACUGCGAGUGUAGAGGUGAAAUUCGUAGAUAUUCGCAAGAACACCAGUGGCGAAGGCGGCUCACUGGCCCGGUACUGACGCUGAGGUGCGAAAGCGUGGGGAGCAAACAGG